RNAcentral lists this transfer RNA (72 nucleotides) under Dallia pectoralis (Alaska blackfish). Its description in RNAcentral is "tRNA-OTHER". It matches the Rfam family "tRNA". From Rfam's summary of the family: Transfer RNA (tRNA) molecules are approximately 80 nucleotides in length. Lineage: Eukaryota; Metazoa; Chordata; Actinopteri; Esociformes; Umbridae. The record is from RNAcentral.
GUUGGUGUAUCUCAGUGGUAGAGUGCAUGCUCUGUAUGUAUGAUAUCCUGGGUUCAAUCCCCAGCUUUUUCC